Molecule: ribosomal RNA, 500 nt
Filed under: uncultured bacterium
Lineage: Bacteria
Description: partial 16S ribosomal RNA
Rfam family: Bacterial small subunit ribosomal RNA
Source: RNAcentral
AUUGAACGCUGGCGGCAUGCUUUACACAUGCAAGUCGAACGGAUUUUGGAGCUUGCUCCAGAGUUAGUGGCGAACGGGUGAGUAAUAUAUCGGAACGUACCCGGCAAUGGGGGAUAACGUAGCGAAAGUUACGCUAAUACCGCAUAUGCCCUGAGGGGGAAAGCAGGGGACCAGUAAUGGCCUUGCGUUGUCGGAGCGGCCGAUAUCGGAUUAGCUAGUUGGUGAGGUAAAGGCUCACCAAGGCGACGAUCCGUAGCGGGUCUGAGAGGAUGAUCCGCCACACUGGGACUGAGACACGGCCCAGACUCCUACGGGAGGCAGCAGUGGGGAAUUUUGGACAAUGGGCGAAAGCCUGAUCCAGCCAUGCCGCGUGAGUGAAGAAGGCCUUCGGGUUGUAAAGCUCUUUCAGGUGGAAAGAAAAGGUUACGGAUAAUACCUGUAACUGACGACGGUACCAUCAGAAGAAGCACCGGCUAACUACGUGCCAGCCGCCGCCGUAA